CCAGGGUCCAGUAAUUGCCUUUACCUGCAGAAGAAGAAACAGCCCAGUUCAGAAGGUUCGAGCUUUGACGGGCCGUGGUGUGAGCCAGCGAGGAGGUCAGCUUCAGAAAGAUCCCCUGCUGGCCCUUACAGAGGGUCUGAGUCCUCGCCCCCAUUCCACCCUUGACGGGCACUCUGUACCCGAUGGGCCUCCACAGCAGGACUGGGAAGAAAGUGACAAUCCAGAAAGGAGGAGGAAGGGAGCCCUGGGAAAGGCCGAGCCCCGUUAAGGUGAAGGAAGGCCUGCGAGAUGCUAAUGGUGGGACUCCGCCAGCCGCUCUGCCAAGGACAGCGCAGACCACGCCAGGCCCCCAGCCUAGCCUCACUUGUUAUCAGAGCAGCAAGAGAACAUGGAAGCUUGCUAAGAGGGCUCCUUCCUGAGUGGCCCAGACAUCACCCUCCUUGCUCAUAGAAGUCAUCAAGGAAGCACUGGAAUGGUCUUUCCUACUCAUCCCCAAGUCCCCCAGCUACCACCCCUAGCUACCACCCCUAGUUCAGGCCAGCCUUGGACUAGGGUGUCUGUGUGCUAAGUGUUGCUCUAAGGACCACCUUGACAUUCUCUUCCCAGGAUCUCAGGCCUGCUGCUUUUGGUAGAAGAAGCCUUCAGCAGGCCGGGGUGGAAUGGAAGUUAUCUUUAAAAACAACAAAGUUUACUCUCUGCAAAAUUGCGUGUGGUGUUAGGUAGAAUAAUGGCCUGUAAAAAUGUUCAUGCCCUAACCACCAGAUCCGGUGAAUGUGUCAUGCUACCUGGCAAGAAAGACUUAAGGUUGCAGAAGGAAUUAAGCUUAUGAAUUGGUUGACCCCAACGUGGAGAGAGUACCUUGAAUUAUCCAGGUGCACCCAGUGUAAUCAGAAGUGUUCUUAAAAGUGAAAGAGGGAGCCAGAAAAAGACAGUAAAGUGGAGAGGUGAUAUGGAAUGAGAGAGGGGCAGAGAGAGACGAUGUUACUAGCUUUGAAGGUAGAGGAAAGGGCCAUGAGCCAAGCAAUGUGGGCAGCCCCCAGAAACAGAAAGGGCAGGUGAAGGAAUUCUCCUGCAGAGCCUCCAGACCCGAACCCAGACCUGCUUGCACCUUGAUUUUAGCCCACGAGACCAAUGUCAAGCUUCUUUUUUUCAGCUUUAUUGAAUUAUAAUUAACAAAUACAAUUGCAUAUAUUUAAAGUGUACAAUGUGAUGAUUUGACAUACGCGUACAUUGUGAAAUGACUACCACAAUCAAGUUCAUUAACACAGCCAUCACCUCACAUAGUUACCUUUUGCUGACAGGAGUGAACCCUUGAGGUCUACUCUCUUAGCAAAUUAUAAGUACACAAUACAGCGUUGUUAACUACAGUCUCCGGACUGUGUGAGAACUCCAGAACUUGCUGAUCUUAUACCUGAAACUCUGCACCUUGAACCAACAUUUCCCACUUCCUCCAUCCCACAACCACCCUUCUAGGCUGUUUUUCUAUAGGUUUACCUCAUUUAUUUUAGGUUCCACAUAUACAUGAUAACAUAAAGUAUCUGUCUUUCUGUGUCUGGCUUAUUUCACAUAGCAUAAUGCAUUCCAGGUCCAUCCAUGUUGCCACAAAUGGCAGGAUUUCCCAAUGUUGAACUUCUAUCCUAUGGAACUGUAAAAUAAUAAAUUUGUUUGUUUAAGCCACUAAGUUGUGUUAAUUCAUUACAGCAGCAAGGGGAAAGGAAUACAUUUUGAAUACAGGUACUGUGAUAAGUAAGUGGGAGGACCAAGGAGAAUAAAUUAUGCCCAAAGGCUUUGCAAUAGAUUGGUUUACCCUAAUGCUGUUGUAAUAAAACUUACUAGUCAUAGCUGUCUCUGAUGCAGAUCAACCUUGCCAGGGUUUUAAUGAAUUUUUUUGAAGAAAGUCAGUACAUUCCAGUGAAGUCCAUUUUACCCUGACCAGCUGUUUCUAUAUUGAAAGAAAAAUAAUAAGUAUGAAGACAGGAAAAAAAGAAAAUCAUUAUUAGGGUGGUUGUUUUGUAGGCAGUUUUGAUUUGGACUACUGACUUCUGAGAUUUCUAAGCUGAGAGGGAUAGUAGCUGGAAGAAACUUUGCAACUAAAAUUCUACAAGUUUAUGUUUUUUCUUAAACUUUUAAAGUGUUCUCCUGUACACUUCUUUUUUGACAGCAAGUUUUUGAAUGACUUGUCUUUUCCAACUUGGUUUUCAUAAAACCCAUAACUAAUUCUGCAUUUACAUUUCAACAGUUUGCAACAUGAUAAUAAAAACUUUAAGGAACUGGCAUAAACCAACUUGGGAGCAGACAUAACUGAUCCUUGGUGAGCUGACAGUUCAGCUGGUGGAGGAAGAAUGUUCUGGAACCUGUCAUCUGUGGGGAGAAGGAUUCAGGAAGCAUGGCUGUCUGCAUGUUGCUAUGAACUUACGUUGCCUGCAAGGGCCCCCUCAGGCCAUGGGAAGGGUCUACAAAUGUGUUCACCACAUGAAACUUGCCUGAGUCAAAUAUGCUCCAAUCAGCUUAGACCACUGUUGAUUUCUACUCCAGUUUCUUCUCACUCUGGGUGAUGUGGAGUGGCUGAUAGCAAUUUUGGGGUUGGCUCAAGGAAGCUGAGCUGGAGAUACAUUUAGCUUGGGUUUGGUGGGACACAUGAUUUGCAAUGGCUUUCAUGUGUAAAAAUAUUAUUAUAGCCACAGUUUUAAGCCAGCAACACACACUGUUAGAUCCGUAACCAGGUUUGAAGUUAUCAUAUGCUAAAGAUAACACUACUACACUAUAAGGCCUUUCCUAUGCUGCUAGUGUGCCAGGAACUGUGAGGGGUCUGAGGCUUUACUUUACUUGUAAGAUCACAAAUGAGCCUCCCAGUUUCAUGGAUGUUGGUAGAAGACAUGAGACUCCUGGGCCAGAGACAAAGGACUUCAGUAGUCAUGGCAGAGCAGGCAGCAUGAACUCCUGUUCCUAUCAGUUCCUUUUGUUCCCUAGGGUUCAUAGGGGUGACACAGAGUGGCCCUAGUGGAUGCCAUGCAGAGAGCGAGUCUGCAUCACAUCUGAGGAUCACCAAGUUUAGGAGAUGCACCCCUUUUAAGAGACUAUUAGCAAACUUUCCCAACCUUUACCUAGAAGAAACAUUAUCUUUACUAUCCUGGUCAGGAAACAAAUCUGCCCUCUGACCUGGAGGGAGAUAUGAUCGCUGUCUUCCAAGGUCACUUGUUAUGCUAACAUUCUUGGAAAGAUAAUCCAGGGGGUAAAAAAGUCAUCAGUUUCUUUGCUGAAAAGGUGUGCAGAAAUAUUAGAGAUCCAUGAAGAAAUAUCUCCAGUACAGUGCUAUAUCCACAGGCGUUGAUUCCUUAACCUAAAGGCGGGAGAAUCUCUCCUUAGCCUCUCACUAGCAGCUGACAGCCUUUCUCACCUCCCUAGCUGAGUCCAGCACACUUUUCUUUUCUUUUUUUCUUUUUCUUUUUUUUUUUUUUGAGACAGAGUCUCGCUCUGUCACCCAGGCUGGAGUGCAGUGGCACGAUCUCGGCUCACUGCAAGCUCUGCCUCCUGGGUUCACGCCAUUCUCCUGCCUCAGCCUCCUGAGUAGCUGGGACUAUAGGCCAGCACACUUUUCUAAUCUUAUCCUGUCUCCUUCUACCUCCCUGCACAUCAGUCAUGUAAAUUCACCUGUCCAAGCACAUCUAUAUAGGUUCUUUUCAAAUUUCCUGCAGAUUUGUCAUGGAAUAUUGACAUCAAAGAUAAGACAAAAAAAAAGCCACUACAAUGUGAAUAUUGACAACAAACUGGUUAAUGAAGGUCUUCAAUUUAAAAAGAAUAUAAGAUUAAUCCCUGCAGAAGAUAACCUCAAGUGCCCUGAAAUUUUACAACUCAUAUGUGAAAGACUUCAUAGAAGUUUUUCCAAAUAUGGCGAUAAUCCUAGACAUUUCGUGAGUUUGAGAAGCUAAAAGGAACUUUCCUAAGUCACCAGUAAUAAAAAAUAAAUUUUGGCCCACCAUGGCAGAAGGAAGACCGGAUUAUCUGCCUAGUCUAGAUAGAGCUGCUCAAUCCAAUAUGGUGGCCACUAGCCACUUGUGACUACUGGGCAUUCAAAAUGUGGCCAGUGCACAUUGAGAAGUGAUGUGAGUGUAAAACGCACACCAGAUUUCAAAGACUUACUAAAAAAAAAAGAAUGUAACAUUCCACAUUGGCAUAUUUUAUACUAAUUAUAUGUUCAUAUUACAAUAUUUGGCUAUAUUAGGUUAAUAAAG
Molecule: long non-coding RNA, 4232 nt
Filed under: Homo sapiens (human)
Lineage: Eukaryota; Metazoa; Chordata; Mammalia; Primates; Hominidae
Description: HSALNT0169862
Source: RNAcentral